Molecule: long non-coding RNA, 3572 nt
Organism: Pseudopipra pipra
Lineage: Eukaryota; Metazoa; Chordata; Aves; Passeriformes; Pipridae
Exons: 4
Source: RefSeq, a predicted model, not a curated record
UAUUCAGCUUCAUAACAUGAUUAUUAGAUCUAUUUUGCAUACCAAAAUAGAUGCCUUGUGAGAUCCUAUAUGCAAUAAGAUGAUUUUUUUCCUGACAGCUAGCUUGCAUUGCCUUAUUUAUACUCUGCAUUUUAGUGUUUACUGAAAAUGGCCUGUUUGGAGACUAAGCUGACCAAAGGAAAAAACUAACCAUACUUGGGCACUUGCUGUUAACUUUCUUUUUGAAGAUGCUUCUUCUGCUCACUGUGUGUGAACUGUGAUGUAGCACGUCACACGUUUCUCUGUAACCUCAUAGACGUAUUUCGGUAUUCCUAUCCUCUGAAUUUCUUUCAAUGUUAGGUAACAUCUGCGAGAGGUUCUGACUUAAAUUUUCUUGUUCUGUGGUGGGCUGAAGUGCAUAGGUGAGUGUGCGUGCGUACCUGAACACAUAGGUCUGUGUAAUGCAGAUGGCAGGUCCAUAGGCCCUUCUGAAUAUAUUUUAUUUUGGUACAGAAUUGGCAAGCGGUCUAAAAAUUCUUGAGCACAGGAUCACAGCUGCCAAAACCCUGCUGCUCUGUAGUAUAGGUUCCACCAGUUUGAGGGGGGAGAACCCUCUUGCUCUUUGGCCCUGCUGGACUGGCCCACUGUAGUCAGGGUGUAUUUUCCAAGUGAAGCUUGACAAACUGGUUCUUAAUUCUCCUGUCCUCUCAGCACUACAGAAUUACAAAACUGAAGCUUCACUCUGUUUGAUGUGAAGGAAAGUAAGUCUGGCAUGACUGGAGUUUGGAAGUCCAGCACAUCGAUAUCUUAUGGGAAUUGAAUUCUGGAUAACACAGCCACAAACAGAGGAGCAGAGACCUGAUCUUGAAAUAAGGUUUCUUUCACAAAAAAUGUAAUGGAACUAACUACGCAAUUAUAGUUUAUUUUUGAAAUUAUGAGAGCAGACAGUAUAAGGAAAGAAAGGAACACAUCUGCAGCAAGGCUGGAACUUUCUCUGUACCCUUCUAGCGCUAUCCCAAGGUUAUCCUAAAUAAUCUGUUCACCUCUAAUAAGAAAUUAUGAUCUGGAUAAAAGCAGAAUAAAAUCUUCUUUAUUUAAUUUUUCAGGUCAUCACACUAAUCACAGAAAGGAGUACAAAGCAGCCUUGAUGAAAGGCACAGGCUGUUAAUCAGCUCUGUCGGUCCUUCCUCCACAUUUCACCAGUCCCACCCAUAGAGCAGGUGGGAGCCUUGGGUUCAUUUCUUGAACUGUGUUUGUUCUAAACCUGCUGAAAUUCUUGCGUGCAGGAGAAAGUUCCAGGGACAGAAGGAUCCUCAGCCAUGUGUUCCUGAUGCACAGCUAAGACAAAACCUGUGGAACAGAGAAGCUUCUCUUACAGUCUCUGAAGAAAGCACUGUAUCAGGGAAGGCUUUUUCAUCGCUGAGAGAGGGACUGAGGAAAGCGGCAGCUGCAGGUGUCAUCUUCCUGGAUUGACUGUUCAGGUGUGAUAUGCACUGAAGAAAAAGAAAAGAAUCACAGAAUCAACUAGGUUGGAAAAGACCCCUGAGAUCAUCGAGUCCAAUCUCUGACUGAACACCACAUUGUCAACUAGACCAUGGCACUGCGUUUUUUGUCCAGUUGUUUCUUGAACACCUCCAGUGACAGUGACUACACCACCUCCCUGGGCAGCCCCUUCCAAUCUUUAACAACCUAUUUUAUGAAGAAAUUCCUCCUGAUCUCGAACCUGAACAUCCCCUGGCACAGCUUGAGGCCAUUUCCUCUUGUCCUGUCAUCUGUUACUUGGGAGAAGAGCCCAACUCCCACCUUGCUACAACCACCUUUCAGGUAGUUGUAGAGUGUGAGAUGGUCCCCCCUGAGCCUCAUUUUCUCCAGGCUAAGCCCCCACAGCUCUCUCAGAUGCUCCUCAUGGACUUAUACUCUAGAUCCUUCCCCAGCUUUGUUGCCCUUCUCUGGACUUAAUCCAGCACCUCAAUGUUUUUUCAAGUGAGAGGCCCAGAACUAGACAGAUGUCCUCUUUCCCCAUCUUAUUUCACCAUUCCUCAGUCACAAGUUCAGGAAGUCAGAAAGAAAAAAAUCUUCCAAAUGAUUCUAUAAUCUGAAAUUAUUCCUCUACAGCAUAUAAAUCUGAUAAAACUAAUUUAUCAUACUUUGUUUCCUCUAAUUCAACAGGACCUCUAAUGCUCUGUUUGCCAUAGCAAUGAAAGGAAGACAACAUGGAGAAGUUAGAUUUUUGGACUGCUAUUGUCUCCUGUAUUCAGAAUCACACUAGAAGAUUAAGACCUUAUCCUUAGGACAGGGGAGAAGAAGAGAGAGAGAGACAACCCCUCAGAAAACCAAACAAGCCAACUACAAACUACGUUGAAUGCAAUUACACUCCAUCUUUGUGCUGAACUCUUGAGCUUCCUCAGCGUUUAUUAGCUCUCAGAGGGCAGUGUUGGAUUCAGGCUGCCUCUGCACCUGUGUAGCAGCACAUCCUGACUGAUACCUCCUCUUCUACCACAGCCAGAGCUCCAAGGCGCUCACUCCAGGCCAUGCGUACUGUUUCUAAGCAGAGAGCACUCGAAAAUGUUAUAGCCACAGAUGCCAAGGAUGGUACUUGAAAGUAAUAAACUGAACUGACCCUUGACAGGAUCAGCAAGGCUCAGGUGAGCUUUUUCACCUCCCACGAAUACUUCACUUGAAGGGAUAAGGAAGCAGUUUGCAGAACACCCACAGUUAAGUAAGUGCCUUCUGCAGUAAAAAUUCCAAAACUGUUUUCCCUUCAGUUGUUUCUGACUUACGAGGCCAAAAAACCCGAAGCUAUUGCAACUGUCUUUAAAAGACAAUUAACCUGGAUUCCUGACUUCUCUCUAGUUUCAUAAAGAAAACUGAAGAGUGCAUUUAUCUUACUUUUUUUGAAGACAGCGUGUAGUUUCUUUUUCUGCCAGACACCGAAGCAUAUGCACAAAGGUAGCAGGAACACUAUGCACAACAGCCCAGCUACGGUGAGAAAAAUCCUGAUAAUGUCUGUCUGGAGAUCCUUCCCUAGGAAUUAAACAACAUUCUCUUAAGAGUUUUAACAGAAAAAAAUUCUACUGCCCUUGAGUUAGCCGACAGCUUUGUCUCCCACUCUGCUUCUAGCUAAGUCUGCAAUACUGGAAAUGCAUAGAAGAAAGGACUCUUGCUUUAAAUGGAAAGUGAACGUAUGUUUCAAAGUAGGUCACAAUUCUUUAGCUCUUUAAGCAGCAUUGUACAAUGACUCACCUGGCCCAGUGAUAGAAAAUGGAAUUGCAAGUGAUGUGGUAGGUAGAGUAGUGACUAAAGUGCGAUUAACUGAAGUGUGUUUGCAAAUGACAUCUUUUUCUGCAGUUCCAGGCUCCAGUAUCUGGUUUGUAGAGCACCUGAAAGACAUUUACAGCAGAACAGGGAAAAGAAAAAAAGCUACAGAAAAAAAUCCAGUAAAGUGUAAUAGCUGUAGCAUUUAGAUUACAUACUUUGUCCAGUUUUUACAGGAGCCAUUGGGCUGAUCAUUAAAAGUUCCAUACUGGCAAGUCUGGCAACCUUCAACAGACAAGGACAGGUAAAUUUGUACAAGAUAAACAUUUAAAACACAA